UACGUAGGGGGCAAGCGUUGUCCGGAAUUAUUGGGCGUAAAGAGCGCGUAGGCGGUCCGAUAAGUCGGCUGUGAAAGUCAGGGGCUCAACCCUUGAAAGCCGGCCGAUACUGUCGGACUAGAGUCCGGAAGAGGCAAGUGGAAUUCCCGGUGUAGCAGUGAAAUGCGUAGAGAUGUGGAGGAACACCGAUGGCGAAGGCAGCCCCCUGGGCUGAGAUUGACGCUCAGGCACGAAAGCGUGGGGAGCAAACAGG
Molecule: ribosomal RNA, 253 nt
Filed under: uncultured bacterium
Lineage: Bacteria
Description: partial 16S ribosomal RNA
Rfam family: Bacterial small subunit ribosomal RNA
Source: RNAcentral